GAUGAACGCUGGCGGCGUGCCUAAUACAUGCAAGUCGAGCGAACAGAUGAGGAGCUUGCUCCUCUGACGUUAGCGGCGGACAGGGGAGUAACACGUGGAUAACCUACCUAUAAGACUGGGAUAACUUCGGGAAACCGGAGCUAAUACCGGAUAAUAUAUUGAACCGCAUGGUUCAAUAGUGAAAGACGGUUUUGCUGUCACUUAUAGAUGGAUCCGCGCCGCAUUAGCUAGUUGGUAAGGUAACGGCUUACCAAGGCAACGAUGCGUAGCCGACCUGAGAGGGUGAUCCGCCACACUGGAACUGAGACACGGUCCAGACUCCGACGGGAGGCAGCAGUAGGGAAUCUUCCGCAAUGGGCGAAAGCCUGACGGAGCAACGCCGCGUGAGUGAUGAAGGUCUUCGGAUCGUAAAACUCUGUUAUUAGGGAAGAACAAAUGUGUAAGUAACUAUGCACGUCUUGACGGUACCUAAUCAGAAAGCCACGGCUAACUACGUG
Molecule: ribosomal RNA, 497 nt
Filed under: uncultured bacterium
Lineage: Bacteria
Description: partial 16S ribosomal RNA
Rfam family: Bacterial small subunit ribosomal RNA
Source: RNAcentral